AGGGCUUGACAUGCAGGGUAAACCCGUGGAAACACGGGGCUCCUUCGGGAGCCUGCACAGGUGCUGCAUGGCUGUCGUCAGCUCGUGCCGUGAGGUGUUGCCUUAAGUGGCGCAACGAGCGCAACCCCUGUUCCAUGUUGCCAGCGAGUGAUGUCGGGGACUCAUGGGAGACUGCCGGUGCCAAACCGGAGGAAGGUGGGGAUGACGUCUCUAGGAGGGUG
RNAcentral lists this unclassified non-coding RNA (221 nucleotides) under uncultured Actinomycetes bacterium. RNAcentral's name for it is "uncultured actinobacterium contains 16S-23S intergenic spacer region". It matches the Rfam family "Bacterial small subunit ribosomal RNA", at positions 977 to 1195 of the family's 1533-position model. The record is from RNAcentral. Lineage: Bacteria; Bacillati; Actinomycetota; Actinomycetes.